ACCAUCCAGGUCAGCUCCAGUGAUGAAGGGUGUUCUUUGAAGCUUAAGGCUGUGGUUUUGGAGAAUGGGCUAACUCCUGCCUCUACCUAUACCCGCAAAGCUCCUGCAGGGCCCAAAAUCUCCCAAAGGUAGGUUGUUGACCCCCCCAUCUCUUCAGAGGACAUUGCCAGCCCUACGAAACCUAACACGCCUGCUUUGUCCAGUCUGGUUGAGGACCAUGAGGGUU
This 226-nucleotide long non-coding RNA is filed under the name Eucalyptus grandis. Its description in RNAcentral is "long non-coding RNA (EGRA_LNC007867)". Lineage: Eukaryota; Viridiplantae; Streptophyta; Magnoliopsida; Myrtales; Myrtaceae. The record is from RNAcentral.